Molecule: RNA transcript, 3331 nt
Organism: Eubalaena glacialis (North Atlantic right whale)
Lineage: Eukaryota; Metazoa; Chordata; Mammalia; Artiodactyla; Balaenidae
Gene: POMT1
Gene name: protein O-mannosyltransferase 1
Exons: 22
Source: RefSeq, a predicted model, not a curated record
GCGAGUGCGUUUGGGGCGCCGGGGACCAGAGCCCAGGCGGAAGCGGGGGAGUCAGUGUGGAACGCGCGUGCGCGGGCAUCCUCCCCGGCCCGCUUUUCUACAAGAUGUUGGGAUUUUUGCAGCGCCCUGUGGUGGUGACAGCUGACAUCAACUUGAAUGUCGUGGCUCUGACCGCGGUGGGGUUGCUGAGCCGACUCUGGCAGCUUUCCUAUCCAAGGGCCGUGGUUUUUGAUGAAGUAUAUUAUGGGCAGUACAUCUCUUUUUACAUGAAGCGGAUCUUCUUUUUGGAUGGCAGUGGACCACCGUUUGGCCACAUGCUGCUGGCCUUGGGAGGUUAUUUAGGAGGAUUUGAUGGUAACUUUUUGUGGAACAGAAUUGGAGCAGAAUACAGCACCAACGUGCCCGUGUGGUCCCUGCGCCUGCUGCCGGCCCUUGCAGGGGCCCUGUCGGUGCCCAUGGCCUACCAGAUCGUGUGGGAGCUCGGCUUCUCUCACUGUGCCGCCGUGGGGGCCGCUCUGCUGAUUCUGAUCGAGAACGCUCUGAUCACUCAGUCAAGGCUGAUGCUUUUGGAAUCAGUGUUGAUAUUUUUCAAUCUGUUGGCCGUGCUGUCUUACCUGAAGUUCUCCAACUCCCAGAAACACAGGCCCUUCUCUCCGAGCUGGUGGUUCUGGUUGCUGCUGACGGGUGUGGCCUGCUCCUGUGCCGUCGGCACCAAGUAUGUGGGUGUGUUCACAUACCUACUGGUGCUCGGGGUUGCCGCUGCCCACGCCUGGCACCUGAUAGGAGACCAGACGCUGUCAAAUGUCCGUGUGCUCUGUCACCUGCUGGCCCGAGCGGUGGCCCUGUUGGUCGUCCCGGUCCUCGUGUACCUGCUCUUCUUCUAUGUGCACCUGCUGCUGCUCUGCCGCUCCGGGCCCCACGACCAGAUCAUGUCCAGUGCUUUCCAGGCCAGCUUGGAGGGGGGGCUGGCGCGGAUCACGCAAGGCCAGCCCCUGGAGGUGGCCUACGGUUCCCAGGUCACUCUGAAGAACGUCUUUGGCCAACCCGUGCCCUGCUGGCUUCAUUCCCACCAGAGCACCUACCCCAUGAUAUACGAGAAUGGCCGCGGCAGCUCCCACCAGCAGCAGGUGACCUGCUACCCCUUCAAGGAUGUCAACAACUGGUGGAUUGUAAAGGACCCCGGGAGGCACCAGCUGGUGGUGAACGACCCCCCGAGACCUGUGCGGCACGGCGACAUCGUGCAGCUGGUGCACGGCAUGACCACCCGCCUCCUCAACACGCACGACGUCGCGGCCCCCCUGAGCCCUCACUCCCAGGAGGUGUCCUGCUACAUCGACUACAACGUCUCCAUGCCUGCCCAGAACCUCUGGAGGCUGGACAUUGUGAACAGAGAGUCGGACACGGACGUCUGGAAGACCAUCUUGUCGGAGGUCCGGUUCGUGCACGUGAACACCUCAGCCAUCCUCAAGCUGAGCGGGGCGCCCCUCCCGGACUGGGGUUUUCGGCAGCUGGAGGUGGUCGGGGAGAAGCUGUCCCGGGGCUACCACGGGAGCACCGUGUGGAACGUGGAGGAGCACCGCUACGGCAGGAGCCAGGAGCAGAAGGAAAGGGAGCUGGAGCUGCGCUCCCCUACGCAGACGGACGCCAGCAGGAACCUCAGCUUCAUGGCCAGAUUCUCAGAGCUGCAGUGGCGGAUGCUGACGGUGAGAAGCGAUGAUUCCGAACACAAAUACAGCUCCACGCCGCUGGACUGGGUCACGCUAGACACCAACAUCGCCUACUGGCUGCACCCCAGGACCAGCGCACAGAUCCACCUGCUUGGAAACAUCGUGAUCUGGGCCUCGGCCAGCCUUGCCACCCUGGUGUACGCCCUGCUCUUGGCCUGGUACCUGCUCAGACGCCGAAGAAGAGUCUGCGACCUCCCUGAGGAUUGCUGGCUGCGCUGGGCGCUGGCCGGGGCUCUGUGCGCCGGGGGCUGGGCCGUGAACUACGUGCCCUUCUUCGUGAUGGAGAAGACGCUGUUCCUCUACCACUACCUGCCGGCGCUCGCCUUCCAGAUCCUCCUGCUCCCUGUGGUCUUGGAGCACGUCAGCGGCCGCCUGUGCAGGUCCCAGCUCCAGAGGAGCUUCUUCAGCGCGCUGGUCGUGGCGUGGUUUGCCUCUGCCUGUCAUGUGUCCAACACGCUGCGCCCGCUAACCUACGGGGAUAGGUCACUCUCACCCAGCGAACUCAAGGCCCUUCGCUGGAAAGACAGCUGGGAUAUCCUGAUCCGGAAAUACUAGCAGGACACAGACACAGUGACGGACGGCAGGGCCGGGUCAGGACAAAGUAGAACCGUCUUUUUUGAGCAUGUUCACUUCUGACAACGCAGAGUGGCUCUGAGCUUGGUGGAGACUCAGGCUCGGCAGGGAUUCUGUUCUGGUUUCGUUGUUGAAACAGUCCUCUGAUGAGCACCUCGUUUUGAGCAAAGUCUGUUUUUCCCGGACCGUAAAGAACAACGCCCUCCAUGUCUGCUGACUCCUGAGAGCCCCGUGAGCUAGCUGAGUGUGCAGCGGCUGGCACGGGGCUCCUGCUGGCCUGGAUGACGGCAGGGAGGGGCCGGUUCGGGUCGAAGCAGACGAGGCCCCGGUCUCGCUGUCAGAGGCUGGUGGUGGGCUUUGGCUGACUGGCCCGCUGACCUGCUGACCCAGCGAGGCCGUGGGGCAUCACCCUCAUGGGUCAGUGGCACACGAGCUACUGGGACGCCGGCCUGAGGAGGUUGUGGAAGGCUGGCCGUUCCUCCUCACCAUCGCUGACUCUUCAACCGCUGCCCAGAGAGCCUGCUGCGGGGUGCGUGCGCGACUAGCCUCUUCAGCCGUCAAGGCCAGCCGGACUUUCCAGUGCCAGCCAAAGGCAGCCCAGAGAAACACGGCAUGGAUGAAGUUUCUAAGCACCUACUGUGUGCCAGACACCACUUUGGCAGCCAACAGACAAAAAUUCCUGCCCCUGUGGAGCCUACUGUUCAGACCACGUCCAUCCAUGGCUUGGCUCUCACAGAACGGGGCACCGGGGGUCCUUCUGAAAAGGGAGAAAGGGAGGUCCCCAAGCAAGCGGAAGGCGGUACCGGCAGGCAGAACUCCUCGAAGGCCGGCUUGACGAAGGUGGUGUACUGCGUCAGGAUCUGCUCCAGGUCCCGGCCGCGGUGCACGUCCCGGAGAACUGUGGCGACAGGAGCAGGGUGGGGACCUUCAGACCCCCGGGACCCGGGGCCGGGCCGGCCAGGGGCAGCGAGGCCCGCGUCCGCCUUACCUCUUCGCGACAGCCUGACGUCAGAGUCGGUGUCCACAAAGAG